RNAcentral lists this ribosomal RNA (327 nucleotides) under uncultured eukaryote. RNAcentral's name for it is "partial 18S ribosomal RNA". It matches the Rfam family "Eukaryotic small subunit ribosomal RNA", at positions 1470 to 1796 of the family's 1831-position model. The record is from RNAcentral.
CCCUUAGAUGUUCUGGGCCGCACGCGCGCUACACUGACGAAUGCAACGAGCUUAUAUCCUUGGCCGAAAGGUCUGGGUAAUCUCCAAAUUUCGUCGUGAUGGGGAUAGAUUAUUGCAAUUAUUAAUCUUCAACGAGGAAUGCCUAGUAAGCGCAAGUCAUCAGCUUGCGUUGAUUACGUCCCUGCCCUUUGUACACACCGCCCGUCGCUCCUACCGAUUGAAUGGUCCGGUGAAGCGUUCGGACCGUGGCCUUUGGACGGUUCGCCGUCUGUUGGCUGCGGGAAGUUCGUUAAACCUUAUCAUUUAGAGGAAGGAGAAGUCGUAACA